UCCCUGGUGGUCCAGUGACUAAGACUGCACUCCCAAUGCAGGGGCCCAGGUUCAAUCCCUGGUCAGGGAA
This 70-nucleotide transfer RNA is filed under the name Capra hircus (goat). It matches the Rfam family "tRNA". Rfam says of the family: Transfer RNA (tRNA) molecules are approximately 80 nucleotides in length. Their secondary structure includes four short double-helical elements and three loops (D, anti-codon, and T loops). Lineage: Eukaryota; Metazoa; Chordata; Mammalia; Artiodactyla; Bovidae. RNAcentral also lists the same sequence under 1 other name. The record is from Rfam by way of RNAcentral.